This 73-nucleotide transfer RNA is filed under the name Danio rerio (zebrafish). It matches the Rfam family "tRNA". From Rfam's summary of the family: Transfer RNA (tRNA) molecules are approximately 80 nucleotides in length. The record is from Rfam by way of RNAcentral. Lineage: Eukaryota; Metazoa; Chordata; Actinopteri; Cypriniformes; Danionidae.
GCUCGUCUAGAUCAGUCGGUAGAGCAUGAGACCCUUAAUCUCAGGGUCGUGGGUUCGAUCCCCACGCUGCGUG